AGAGUUUGAUCAUGGCUCAGGACGAACGCUGGCGGUAUGCUUAACACAUGCAAGUCGAACGAGAAGCUUUUGACAGAACCUUCGGGGGACGUAAGAGCAGACAGUGGCGAACGGGUGAGUAACGCGUGGGCAACCUACCUAUCGGAGCGGGAUAGCCUCGAGAAAUCGGGAGUAAAACCGCAUAACACGGAUAUAUCGCAUGAUGAAUCCGUCAAAACUCCGGUGCCGAUAGAUGGGCCCGCGUCUGAUUAGCUAGUUGGUAAGGUAAGGGCUUACCAAAGCAACGAUCAGUAGCCGAUCUGAGAGGAUGAACGGCCACAUUGGGACUGAGACACGGCCCAAACUCCUACGGGAGGCAGCAGUGGGGGAUAUUGCACAAUGGGGGGAACCCUGAUGCAGCAAUACCGGGUGAGUGAAGAAGUAUUUCGGUAUGUAAAGCUCUAUCAGCAGGGAAGAUAAUGACAGUACCUGAAUAAGGAAGCCCCGGCUAACUACGUGCCAGCAGCCGCGGU
This 512-nucleotide ribosomal RNA is filed under the name Pseudoramibacter sp. oral clone 20-21. RNAcentral's name for it is "bacterial SSU rRNA". It matches the Rfam family "Bacterial small subunit ribosomal RNA", at positions 8 to 521 of the family's 1533-position model. Lineage: Bacteria; Bacillati; Bacillota; Clostridia; Eubacteriales; Eubacteriaceae. The record is from RNAcentral.